This 505-nucleotide ribosomal RNA is filed under the name uncultured bacterium. RNAcentral's name for it is "bacterial SSU rRNA". It matches the Rfam family "Bacterial small subunit ribosomal RNA", at positions 15 to 507 of the family's 1533-position model. The record is from RNAcentral.
GAUCAUGGCUCAGGAUGAACGCUAGCUACAGGCUUAACACAUGCAAGUCGAGGGGAAACGACAUCGAAAGCUUGCUUUUGGUGGGCGUCGACCGGCGCACGGGUGAGUAACGCGUAUCCAACCUGCCCACCACUUGGGGAUAACCUUGCGAAAGUAAGACUAAUACCCAAUGAUAUCUCUAGAAGACAUCUGAAAGAGAUUAAAGAUUUAUCGGUGAUGGAUGGGGAUGCGUCUGAUUAGCUUGUUGGCGGGGUAACGGCCCACCAAGGCGACGAUCAGUAGGGGUUCUGAGAGGAAGGUCCCCCACAUUGGAACUGAGACACGGUCCAAACUCCUACGGGAGGCAGCAGUGAGGAAUAUUGGUCAAUGGACGAGAGUCUGAACCAGCCAAGUAGCGUGCAGGAUGACGGCCCUAUGGGUUGUAAACUGCUUUUAUAAGGGAAUAAAGUGAGUCUCGUGAGACUUUUUGCAUGUACCUUAUGAAUAAGGACCGGCUAAUUCCGUG